This 253-nucleotide ribosomal RNA is filed under the name uncultured bacterium. RNAcentral's name for it is "partial 16S ribosomal RNA". It matches the Rfam family "Bacterial small subunit ribosomal RNA", at positions 524 to 776 of the family's 1533-position model. The record is from RNAcentral.
UACGUAGGGUCCAAGCGUUAUCCGGAAUCACUGGGCGUAAAGCGUGCGUAGGUGGAUGUUUAAGUGUGAUGUUAAAUCGUGUGGCUCAACCAUAUCGAUGUGUCGCAUACUGGGCAUCUAGAGGACAGCAGAGGCAAGUGGAACUGGUAGUGUAGCAGUGAAAUGCGUAGAUAUUACCAAGAACACCAAUGGCGAAGGCAGCUUGCUGGGCUACUCCUGACACUGAGGUACGAAAGCGUGGGGAGCAAACAGG